This 503-nucleotide ribosomal RNA is filed under the name uncultured bacterium. RNAcentral describes it as "partial 16S ribosomal RNA". It matches the Rfam family "Bacterial small subunit ribosomal RNA", at positions 30 to 523 of the family's 1533-position model. The record is from RNAcentral.
AUUGAACGCUGGCGGCAGGCUUAACACAUGCAAGUCGAGCGGGGGAAGGUAGCUUGCUACCGGACCUAGCGGCGGACGGGUGAGUAAUGCUUAGGAAUCUGCCUAUUAGUGGGGGACAACAUCUCGAAAGGGAUGCUAAUACCGCAUACGUCCUACGGGAGAAAGCAGGGGAUCUUCGGACCUUGCGCUAAUAGAUGAGCCUAAGUCGGAUUAGCUAGUUGGUGGGGUAAAGGCCUACCAAGGCGACGAUCUGUAGCGGGUCUGAGAGGAUGAUCCGCGACACAGGGACUGAGACACGGCCCAGACUCCUACGGGAGGCAGCAGUGGGGAAUAUUGGACAAUGGAGGGAACCCUGAUCCAGCCAUGCCGCGUGUGUGAAGAAGGCCUUAUGGUUGUAAAGCACUUGAAGCGAGGAGGAGGCUACUUUAGUUAAUACCUAGAGAUAGUGGACGUUACUCGCAGAAUAAGCACCGGCUAACUCUGUUCAGCAGCCGCCGCAGUAA